Molecule: ribosomal RNA, 1388 nt
Filed under: metagenome
Description: bacterial SSU rRNA
Rfam family: Bacterial small subunit ribosomal RNA
Source: RNAcentral
GGCGCACGGGUGCGUAACACGUACGUAAUCUACCUUUAACUGGAAGAUAGCCCGAAGAAAUUCGGAUUAAUAUUCCAUAACAUAAUGAAGAGGCAUCUCUUUAUUAUUAAAGCUCCGGCGGUUAAGGAUGAACAUGCGUCUGAUUAGCUAGUUGGCGGGGUAACGGCCCACCAAGGCAACGAUCAGUAGGGGAUCUGAGAGGAUGAUCCCCCACACUGGUACUGAGACACGGACCAGACUCCUACGGGAGGCAGCAGUAAGGAAUAUUGGACAAUGGGGGCAACCCUGAUCCAGCCAUGCCGCGUGAAGGAUGAAGGCCCUAUGGGUCGUAAACUUCUUUUGAACGGGAGAAACCCCGGGUACGUGUACCCGGUUGAUAGUACCGUUAGAAUAAGGGACGGCUAACUUCGUGCCAGCAGCCGCGGUAAUACGAAGGUCCCGAGCGUUAUCCGGAUUCAUUGCGUUUAAAGGGUGCGUAGGUGGAAUAAUAAGUCAGUGGUGAAAUCUUGCAGCUUAACUGUAAAACUGCCAUUGAUACUGUUGUUCUUGAGUGUAGUUGAUGUGGGCGGAAUAUGUCAUGUAGCGGUGAAAUGCUUAGAUAUGACAUAGAACACCGAUUGCGAAGGCAGCUCACAAAGCUACUACUGACACUGAGGCACGAAAGCGUGGGGAUCAAACAGGAUUAGAUACCCUGGUAGUCCACGCCCUAAACGUUGAUCACUCGCUGUUGGCGAUACACAGUCAGCGGCUAAGCGAAAGCGUUAAGUGAUCCACCUGGGGAGUACGAUCGCAAGAUUGAAACUCAAAGGAAUUGACGGGGGCCCGCACAAGCGGAGGAGCAUGUGGUUUAAUUCGAUGAUACGCGAGGAACCUUACCAGGGCUUGAAAGUUAGUGACAGGUGGUGAAAGCCACUCUUCCGCAAGGACACGAAACUAGGUGCUGCAUGGCUGUCGUCAGCUCGUGCCGUGAGGUGUUGGGUUAAGUCCCGCAACGAGCGCAACCCCUACUUCUAGUUGCCAACAGGUUAUGCUGGGACUCUAGAGGAACUGCCCGCGCAAGCGGUGAGGAAGGUGGGGAUGACGUCAAGUCAGCACGGCCCUUACGUCCUGGGCUACACACGUGCUACAAUGGUGGGAACAAAGGGCAGCUACACGGCAACGUGAUGCUAAUCCUCAAAUCCCAUCUCAGUUCGGAUUGAAGUCUGCAACUCGACUUCAUGAAGCUGGAUUCGCUAGUAAUCGGAUAUCAGCAAUGAUCCGGUGAAUACGUUCCCGGGCCUUGUACACACCGCCCGUCAAACAAUGGAAGUUGGGAGUACCUAAAGUCAAUUGCCGCAAGGUGUUGCCUAGGGUAAAACCAGUAACUGGUGUUAAGUCGUAACAAGGUA